UACGUAGGGUGCAAGCGUUGUCCGGAAUUAUUGGGCGUAAAGAGCUCGUAGGCGGUUUGUCGCGUCUGCUGUGGAAACUCGGGGCUUAACCCCGGGCCUGCAGUGGGUACGGGCAGACUAGAGUGCGGUAGGGGAGACUGGAAUUCCUGGUGUAGCGGUGAAAUGCGCAGAUAUCAGGAGGAACACCGGUGGCGAAGGCGGGUCUCUGGGCCGUAACUGACGCUGAGGAGCGAAAGCGUGGGGAGCGAACAGG
Molecule: ribosomal RNA, 253 nt
Filed under: uncultured bacterium
Lineage: Bacteria
Description: partial 16S ribosomal RNA
Rfam family: Bacterial small subunit ribosomal RNA
Source: RNAcentral